Danio rerio (zebrafish) is the source of this 461-nucleotide non-coding RNA. Lineage: Eukaryota; Metazoa; Chordata; Actinopteri; Cypriniformes; Danionidae. The record is from RefSeq and is a predicted model, not a curated record.
UUGGAAGGUGUCCAGGAGAGACUUCAGAAUGCUCUGGGGUCUGCUCUGCUCUUUCUCGGCUUUAUUAUGGAGAAGAAAGUCUAUUUUCUGAUAUUCAAAACCUCUGGUCUGAUAAUUUGUAAUUAAUGAGAAGUCAAUAUUUACCACAAAUGGCGCCCAACGUGGUGCUGGACAGAGACGAACGGGUGACACUGGACAUGCUGGGGCUUGGAGGAAAAACACAAAUAUGUGGCCACGAUAAAAAACGCGAUAUCUGUGCAGGAAACCAGAAAGGAGCCAUGUGAGAGAGCAGAGAUAUAAGGUCCAAUUGGUCCAGCUGAUCGAGUCUAUCUGUGGAUGCUCUGGAGAGCUCAGGAGGAAAGGACCAUAUCUGGAUGAGGGCAAAUCCAACAGCUGCCAAAGUGGAUGACAUUGAUGAGGUACCAAUGCCUCAAAGGAGCGAAAGGGAACAACUCCAGCAA